GAUGAACGCUAGCGGCAGGCUUAAUACAUGCAAGUCGAGGGGCAGCACGGGUAGCAAUACCUGGUGGCGACCGGCAAACGGGUGCGGAACACGUACGCAACCUUCCCGAAACUGGUGAAUAGCCCCCCGAAAGGAGGAUUAAUACACCGUAAGAUAAUGGAGUGGCAUCACUCUAUUAUUAUAGCUACGGCGGUUUUGGAUGGGCGUGCGCCUGAUUAGGUAGUUGGCGGGGUAACGGCCCACCAAGCCUGCGAUCAGUAACUGGUGUGAGAGCACGACCAGUCACACGGGCACUGAGACACGGGCCCGACUCCUACGGGAGGCAGCAGUAAGGAAUAUUGGUCAAUGGACGCAAGUCUGAACCAGCCAUGCCGCGUGAAGGAUGAAGGCCCUCUGGGUUGUAAACUUCUUUUAUCUGGGACGAAAAAGGGAAUUCUUUCCACUUGACGUACCAGAGGAAUAAGCACCGGCUAACUCCGUG
Molecule: ribosomal RNA, 481 nt
Filed under: uncultured bacterium
Lineage: Bacteria
Description: bacterial SSU rRNA
Rfam family: Bacterial small subunit ribosomal RNA
Source: RNAcentral